GAUUAUUUGGAGCCUCAGUACUAGGCAGAAUCCCAGAAGGAGGAGGCACCGAAGGUUGAUUAUUUGGAGUUUCAUUACGCUGUAUGAUAGGAACAUAUUUAUGCGGCUUAGUUAGCUUGUUCUUGUGCAUUUAUAUUGUUAUUUCUUAGUCAAUUAUGUAUUUUUAAGCUAUUUUCAUGUGUUUGAAGGUCCUAAUAACAAAGUUGGCAAGAAAGUGCAUUUUGGUGCAUGUUGGAGCAUUUUUAGCCAAGAUUGGAUAGUGCAAGCAUGGAGACAUGAGGAUGGACGUUUUUGAAGAUUAGAAGGCUGGAAAUCAGCAUGUGUGUGUGCAAAUGUGUUGAUUUUGGGCUGAAAUGGUGAAGAGCAUGUGUGUGCACGUGCAAAGACAACAUGCAUACACACUCAUGGACAACAUGACACAUGGGCAAAGAGAAAGACACACCAUGGACAACUUGGCAUGGGCAGAAAAGAGGUGGAUUGGUGGCUUAAAUGAUGAAGAACAUGUGUGUAAAUGUAAAGGAGAAACAUGGCAGAAAAUGUGUUUGUUUUGUGGCUGAAAUGAUGGAGGUCAUGUGUGUGCAAAUGUAAAGGGAAACAUGGACAACACACACCCAUACAAACUGCACAUGCAAGGAAUUGAAGUGGUCCUCUCCUUAGCCUAUAAAUACAUCCACCAUUCCCCUUCUUAAAGAGAAUCUUGAUCCAUCAAAAAGAGCUUCAUUCACAAACACAAGUCCCUUGCCAUGAGCUCCAUUCCAUUUCAUCCAUACAUUUAAACACAUCUCUAUACACUUCCAUUUUCCAUGCCAUGAGAUCCAUUCCAUCCAUACAUCCA
RNAcentral lists this long non-coding RNA (835 nucleotides) under Malus domestica (apple). RNAcentral's name for it is "long non-coding RNA (MDOM_LNC020932)". The record is from RNAcentral. Lineage: Eukaryota; Viridiplantae; Streptophyta; Magnoliopsida; Rosales; Rosaceae.